Molecule: non-coding RNA, 219 nt
Organism: Pelobates cultripes (western spadefoot toad)
Lineage: Eukaryota; Metazoa; Chordata; Amphibia; Anura; Pelobatidae
Source: the annotation of a GenBank genome assembly
GUCUAUGGUGGUUCGCGCGGUUCGCCGGUUCGCGAACAUUUGCGGAAGUUCGCGUUCGCCGUUCGCGAACCGAAAAUUUCGUGUUCGCGACAUCACUAUAGCUAAUAUGUCAACUGUUCAAAUAUAUUGCACUUUGACUACAACAUGCUGUGAUAUAUAAAGUUUCUGGUCCUUCUUGAAUGUAGAUGAUAAUAGAAUGGAAUGUGGCUGAAAUCUCAG